GACGAACGCUGGCGGCGUGCCUAACACAUGCAAGUCGAGCGGGGAUGACUCUUCGGAGGCAUCCAAGCGGCGGACGGGUGAGUAACACGUGGGCAACCUGCCUCACAGAGGGGGAUAGGCUCUCGAAAGGGAGAUUAAUACCGCAUAAGAAGUAAGAGUCGCAUGACUCAAGCUUUAAAGGCUGUAUAUCUGAAAGGGUGUAUAGUCACUGUGAGAUGGGCCCGCGGCGCAUUAGUUAGUUGGUGAGGUAACGGCUCACCAAGGCGACGAUGCGUAGCCGACCUGAGAGGGUGAACGGCCACAUUGGAACUGAGAGACGGUCCAGACUCCUACGGGAGGCAGCAGUGGGGAAUAUUGCACAAUGGGCGGAAGCCUGAUGCAGCAACGCCGCGUGAGUGAAGAAGGUUUUCGGAUUGUAAAGCUCUGUCUUUGGGGACGAUAAUGACGGUACCCGAGGAGGAAGCCACGGCUAACUACGUG
This 480-nucleotide ribosomal RNA is filed under the name uncultured organism. Its description in RNAcentral is "bacterial SSU rRNA". It matches the Rfam family "Bacterial small subunit ribosomal RNA", at positions 28 to 507 of the family's 1533-position model. The record is from RNAcentral.